UACGUAGGGUGCAAGCGUUAAUCGGAAUUACUGGGCGUAAAGCGUGCGCAGGCGGUGAUGUAAGACAGAUGUGGAAUCCCCGGGCUCAACCUGGGAACUGCAUUUGUGACUGCAUCGCUGGAGUGCGGCAGAGGGGGAUGGAAUUCCGCGUGUAGCAGUGAAAUGCGUAGAUAUGCGGAGGAACACCGAUGGCGAAGGCAGCCCCCUGGGAUAACACUGACGCUCAUGCACGAAAGCGUGGGGAGCAAACAGG
This 253-nucleotide ribosomal RNA is filed under the name uncultured bacterium. Its description in RNAcentral is "partial 16S ribosomal RNA". It matches the Rfam family "Bacterial small subunit ribosomal RNA", at positions 524 to 776 of the family's 1533-position model. The record is from RNAcentral.